AUUAAAUAAAGACCUCCUAAUAUUAUUUGAAACAGAUAACACUGAAUUAGUUUGAAUUUGAUUUUCAUCUAAUAUCUUUAUUUAAUGAACUCCUAAACUUUUUCAUAAUAAUCUCCUAAACUUUUUCAUAAUAAUCUCCUUCAAAAGUCGCCUGUAUGGGUGGCUUUU
This 168-nucleotide small RNA is filed under the name Streptococcus pneumoniae. RNAcentral's name for it is "csRNA5". The record is from RNAcentral. Lineage: Bacteria; Bacillati; Bacillota; Bacilli; Lactobacillales; Streptococcaceae.